UAUUUGAAAAAUUUCGGGUACA
This 22-nucleotide non-coding RNA is filed under the name Arabidopsis thaliana (thale cress). The record is from RNAcentral. Lineage: Eukaryota; Viridiplantae; Streptophyta; Magnoliopsida; Brassicales; Brassicaceae.